ACGUAGGUUGCGAGCGUUAUCCGGAUUUACUGGGCGUAAAGGGUGCGUAGGUGGUUUCUUAAGUCAGGAGUGAAAGGCUACGGCUCAACCGUAGUAAGCUCUUGAAACUGGGAAACUUGAGUGCAGGAGAGGAAAGUGGAAUUCCUAGUGUAGCGGUGAAAUGCGUAGAUAUUAGGAGGAACACCAGUAGCGAAGGCGGCUUUCUGGACUGUAACUGACACUGAGGCACGAAAGCGUGGGGAGCAAACAGGAUUAGAUACCCUGGUAGUCCACGCCGUAAACGAUGAGUACUAGGUGUCGGGGGUUACCCCCCUCGGUGCCGCAGCUAACGCAUUAAGUACUCCGCCUGGGGAGUACGGUCGCAAGAUUA
Molecule: ribosomal RNA, 370 nt
Filed under: uncultured bacterium
Lineage: Bacteria
Description: bacterial SSU rRNA
Rfam family: Bacterial small subunit ribosomal RNA
Source: RNAcentral